RNAcentral lists this long non-coding RNA (351 nucleotides) under Androctonus crassicauda. The record is from RNAcentral. Lineage: Eukaryota; Metazoa; Arthropoda; Arachnida; Scorpiones; Buthidae.
CCUGUACCUAGAUUCACCUAGUUUUCGCGAGAGCUUCAGUCCUUGGCCGUCAGACGUUUCCACGCAGGAGAGGGGUCCCGUGCUGUUCUGUUAUUGAUUGGGUUCUCCCUAUUCUUCCUUCGGAUGGGUUCUGGAGACUCUGUGGUGAUUGGUUGCGUGUGGCUUCUGGCCUGCUUGAUCCUCUUGGCUCCUUUCCGGUCUAUGGUGGCAUUCUGGCUGUACGCUUCAGUGGCUGGCGCCGUGCUCGGGUUGCCUGGCUCAGUGUCUCGUUUGUGCUCCUCCAUUCUUUUUUCAAUUGUUCGGGACGUAGCUCCGGUGUGCGCCGCCUCCGUGUGCGUGGCGCUUUCAGCU